AAUCUGCCCUGCACUCUGGGACAAGCCCUGGAUCUGGGUCUAAUACCGGAUACUGACCCGCUUGGGCAUCCUGGCGGUUCGAAAGCUCCGGCGGUGCAGAUGAGCCCGCGGCCUAUCAGCUAGUUGGUGAGGUAAUGGCUCACCAAGGCGACGACGGGUAGCCGGCCUGAGAGGGCGACCGGCCACACUGGGACUGAGACACGGCCCAGACUCCUACGGGAGGCAGCAGUGGGGAAUAUUGCACAAUGGGCGAAAGCCUGAUGCAGCGACGCCGCGUGAGGGAUGACGGCCUUCGGGUUGUAAACCUCUUUCAGCAGGGAAGAAGCGAAAGUGACGGUACCUGCAAAUAAUCGCCGGCUAACUACGUGCCAGCAGCCGCGGUAAUACGUACGGCGCGAGCGUUGUCCGGAAUUAUUGGGCGUAAAGAG
This 428-nucleotide ribosomal RNA is filed under the name Streptomyces albogriseolus. RNAcentral's name for it is "bacterial SSU rRNA". It matches the Rfam family "Bacterial small subunit ribosomal RNA", at positions 123 to 567 of the family's 1533-position model. Lineage: Bacteria; Bacillati; Actinomycetota; Actinomycetes; Kitasatosporales; Streptomycetaceae. The record is from RNAcentral.